Molecule: transfer RNA, 72 nt
Filed under: Spirochaetota bacterium
Lineage: Bacteria; Pseudomonadati; Spirochaetota
Description: Spirochaetes bacterium tRNA-Glu
Rfam family: tRNA
About the family: Transfer RNA (tRNA) molecules are approximately 80 nucleotides in length. Their secondary structure includes four short double-helical elements and three loops (D, anti-codon, and T loops).
Source: RNAcentral
GGCCCCAUCGUCUAACGGCUAGGAUACCACUCUUUCAAGGUGGGGGUGGGGGUUCGAUUCCCCCUGGGGCCA